Panicum hallii is the source of this 384-nucleotide long non-coding RNA. RefSeq lists it as uncharacterized. The record is from RefSeq and is a predicted model, not a curated record. Lineage: Eukaryota; Viridiplantae; Streptophyta; Magnoliopsida; Poales; Poaceae. The transcript has 2 exons.
AAUACAUGAAAGCCGAAGGUUUAAUGCAAAAUUUGAAGAACCACGGUGCCAUGGGAACGGUCGCCGGUGACGGCGCGUCGCGCCGACGUCGUCGAUGGAGCGUACUCAGUUCUUCUAUUCUUGAUCUUCUUGAUGUUCUGCACGAACUCGUUGCCGUGGCCAUCUAUCAACCAUGAGUAGCAGUGAAGAACAAGUGCCAAUGGUCGAAAUAUUUAAGUAUUUCUGCAUGUCGUGGACAUCAUGUGGUGACUCCCAUCUUUCUAGUUCUACUUGUUAAUGGCCUGAGCAUCAAAAUGUUACUGUAUGUUGUUGAUUAGUGAUGCCAGAGCAAGCGUGACCAGAAAUAUAAAGAAAUAAUAGAACUCGAGCUGAGAUUCAUGUUCC